UACGGAGGGUGCAAGCGUUAUCCGGAAUCACUGGGUUUAAAGGGUGCGUAGGCGGCUUGAUAAGUCAGCGGUGAAAGCCCACGGCUUAACUGUGGAACUGCCUUUGAUACUGUCAGGCUUGAAUUGGGUUGAGGCAGACGGAAUGUGGCAUGUAGCGGUGAAAUGCUUAGAUAUGCCAUAGAACACCGAUUGCGAAGCCAGGCUGCCAAGCCUUGAAUGACGCUGAGGCACGAAAGCGUGGGGAGCGAACAGG
Molecule: ribosomal RNA, 253 nt
Filed under: uncultured bacterium
Lineage: Bacteria
Description: partial 16S ribosomal RNA
Rfam family: Bacterial small subunit ribosomal RNA
Source: RNAcentral